UGAUUUGCUGUCGAAAUGUCCAGUAUGC
This 28-nucleotide small RNA is filed under the name Bombyx mori (domestic silkworm). RNAcentral describes it as "ovarian small RNA-33207". The record is from RNAcentral. Lineage: Eukaryota; Metazoa; Arthropoda; Insecta; Lepidoptera; Bombycidae.